RNAcentral lists this ribosomal RNA (305 nucleotides) under uncultured bacterium. RNAcentral's name for it is "bacterial SSU rRNA". It matches the Rfam family "Bacterial small subunit ribosomal RNA", at positions 335 to 639 of the family's 1533-position model. The record is from RNAcentral.
UACCUACGGGAGGCAGCAGUGAGGAAUAUUGGUCAAUGGACGCAAGUCUGAACCAGCCAUGCCACGUGCAGGAAGAAGGUGCUAUGCAUUGUAAACUGCUUUUAUACGGGGGUAAUUACAGAUACGUGUAUCUGGAUGAAAGUACCGUAUGAAUAAGGAUCGGCUAACUCCGUGCCAGCAGCCGCGGUAAUACGGAGGAUCCGAGCGUUAUCCGGAUUUAUUGGGUUUAAAGGGUGCGUAGGCGGGACGGUAAGUCAGCGGUAAAAAUGCGGAGCUCAACUCCGUCGAGCCGUUGAAACUGCCGU